This 468-nucleotide ribosomal RNA is filed under the name uncultured bacterium. Its description in RNAcentral is "partial 16S ribosomal RNA". It matches the Rfam family "Bacterial small subunit ribosomal RNA", at positions 28 to 507 of the family's 1533-position model. The record is from RNAcentral.
GACGAACGCUGGCGGCGUGCUUAACACAUGCAAGUCGAACGGAAAGGCCCUGCUUUUGUGGGGUGCUCGAGUGGCGAACGGGUGAGUAACACGUGAGUAACCUGCCCUUGACUUUGGGAUAACUUCAGGAAACUGGGGCUAAUACCGGAUAGGAGCUCCUGCUGCAUGGUGGGGGUUGGAAAGUUUCGGCGGUUGGGGAUGGACUCGCGGCUUAUCAGCUUGUGGGUGGGGUAGUGGCUUACCAAGGCUUUGACGGGUAGCCGGCCUGAGAGGGUGACCGGCCACAUUGGGACUGAGAUACGGCCCAGACUCCUACGGGAGGCAGCAGUGGGGAAUAUUGCACAAUGGGCGGAAGCCUGAUGCAGCAACGCCGCAUGCGGGAUGACGGCCUUCGGGUUGUAAACCGCUUUCGCCUGUGACGAAGCGUGAGUGACGGUAAUGGGUAAAGAAGCACCGGCUAACUACGUG